CGUACACUCCUGCGGGAGGCAGCAGUGGGGAAUAUUGGACAAUGGGCGAAAGCCUGAUCCAGCAAUGCCGCGUGAGUGAUGAAGGCCUUAGGGUUGUAAAGCUCUUUUACCCGGGAUGAUAAUGACAGUACCGGGAGAAUAAGCCCCGGCUAACUCCGUGCCAGCAGCCGCGGUAAUACGGAGGGGGCUAGCGUUGUUCGGAAUUACUGGGCGUAAAGCGCGCGUAGGCGGCUUUGUAAGUUAGAGGUGAAAGCCCGGAGCUCAACUUCGGAAUUGCCUUUAAGACUGCAUCGCUAGAAUCGUGGAGAGGUGAGUGGAAUUCCGAGUGUAGAGGUGAAAUUCGUAGAUAUUCGGAAGAACACCAGUGGCGAAGGCGACUCACUGGACACGUAUUGACGCUGAGGUGCGAAAGCGUGGGGAGCAAACAGGAUUAGAAACCCCGGUAGUCCC
RNAcentral lists this ribosomal RNA (450 nucleotides) under uncultured organism. Its description in RNAcentral is "partial 16S ribosomal RNA". It matches the Rfam family "Bacterial small subunit ribosomal RNA", at positions 330 to 797 of the family's 1533-position model. The record is from RNAcentral.